CUUUACUGUGGGCUACCUGCCCGUAUUUAUGCAGGUCUCCCACUUGGUGGACACUCCCCUAGGGGACCAAAUGGGAGACUUAAAUGACAGACAGAUAUGGGGACAUUCCAGACACACAGUCACAGAUUUUACCCACAGUGCAUUAUGAUUCCCUCCCCUCUACCCUGGAGUUAAUUACCAAGUAACUCAAUUAACUCCAGGACAAAGCCAGUCGCCAUCUUAAAUAUAAAAUCAUAAAAGACAUAA
Molecule: long non-coding RNA, 246 nt
Filed under: Pelobates cultripes (western spadefoot toad)
Lineage: Eukaryota; Metazoa; Chordata; Amphibia; Anura; Pelobatidae
Source: RNAcentral